Molecule: long non-coding RNA, 800 nt
Filed under: Rattus norvegicus (Norway rat)
Lineage: Eukaryota; Metazoa; Chordata; Mammalia; Rodentia; Muridae
Description: long non-coding RNA NONRATT023127
Source: RNAcentral
CUUCUUUCCACCUGUGGAUUGACCUGCUACAUUCAAAAGGGUGUUUCGCAGGUGAAAAAAGGAGACGUUCUCCCGGCCAAGGUUAAUGACUCCGUGAUAAUAGCAGCACAAGUCCAAAAGGACCCCCACUCCACUUCAAAGAUGAUGAGCAUCAAUCACCUCCACAUGGAGUGGCUUCCACUGUGGCAAGCCAGACACUGGGCAAGGAAAAUGCCCACACUGCAACUACGGGCAAGUUUCUACAGAAAAGACAAGCAGGAAAGUCAACUGCCACGCUCUGCCAACGCACGCUAAGCAAGCCCUUCAUAAUUCCUGCUCCACAAAGUCUGUCAGACAUGCUGAGCAGAAGGCUGAGGAUAAAUGCCCCAACAUCGUAGAGACAAUUCUGGGUAGCUGUCUAGCCCGCCAACCGUCUGUCAGUUCUUAGUCUUGGAAGCUUCUGCCUGCACUUCCUGCAAAUUCAGGUCAUAUUGAUCCCUUCUCCGGUCUCUGACGGAGGUGAAGACUGGAUAGUUAAGAGUCUUUACUAUAAGCUUAAGUUGUUUAGAAUUUAAGAAGAUCUAGAUCUAUGAAGAUGUCUUUUAGCAUGGUCAUACAAGUUAGGAUAGAAAAUGAUUUAGAUACAGAACUGUGAACUCACCAAGAUAGGCUAGACAAUACUUUGUCUAAGUUGCCAAAUUUAAAUGGACCAGACAUUAUAAAUGUAUAUCACACCUUAUAGUUUUCAUAAUCAUUUUAAUUGUACUCAAUUUGUAUUCAAAUUGAAAGAAAAAGAGCCUUUUAUUGGGAUAAAAAGGGGA